CAUUUAUUUUUCAGGAAAUGUUUAUCAAGCAUCUGCUACCUGUCCCACCCUGCAGUGGGCAUUGGGGAAUGGCCAAGCAGAUGAAUGAGAUCAGGCUCCCGUCCUCCAGGAGUGCAGCGUGUAGCAACUGACAGCGACAAGCCAUGGCCAAACAGGGACGUGGGCAAAGAAGGUCUGCUGGAGCAGAGAAAGUGAAACUGACCAGACGAAUCAGAAACCCGGGGAAGAGUCUGCGGCUGUCAGCAGAUACAAGGCCAGUGCCCUAAGGAGGUACUGGGAUAUAAGGGUGAAAAAGAUACAGUAAAGAGAUAAAUACAACAUUUGACAGAUGGACAAAAAGGAGUGUCAUGAAGAGAGUAGCAGCAGUGAUGAAGAGCUGUGGAGACGGGACAAUGGAUCCAGUAGGAGUGUAGAUGCAUCAGAACUCGUAAGACAGCAGACAGUACUGGUUGACAAUAGCAUACAGAAACUGCGAGACACGAGAACUGGAAUUUUUUCUCAGGCUGAAGCCUGUGUGACAGAUGAUAUGGUAUACAGGGAGUUACCCCCUGUUUCUCAGAUGUGUGGUAGCAUCUUACAUUUUUUCGACGAAGAUGACGAGACAGAGGCUGAGGCAUUAUGGUUCACUGCUUUUCCUAAGUAUCAACCAUCUGGGGAGGACAUUCCCAGUGUAUCAGAACAGCAGGAAUCUUCAGAGGGACAAGAAUCAGGAGAUAUUUGCUCAGAAGAGAAUCAAAUAGUUUCCUCUUAUGCUGCUAAACUCGGUUCUGAGGUUGAACAAGAUUACACAAAUCAUCAGUUUCUGGGGCCUGAAGGAAAUGUGGAUGUUGAGUUGAUUGAUAAGAGCACAAACACAUACAGCCUUCGGUUCCCCACUGCUGGCUGGUAUCUGUGGUCGGCCACCGGCCUCGGCUUCGUGGUAAGGGAUGCGGUCACGGUGACGAUUGCGUUUGGUUCCUGGAGUCAGCACCUGGCCCUGGACCUGCAGCACCAUGAACAGUGGCUGGCGGCCGGCCCCUUGUUUGCCGUCACUGCAGAGCCAGAGGAGGCUGUGGCCGAAAUCCACCUCCCCCACUUCAUCUCCCUCCAAGGUGAGGUGGACGUCUCCUGGUUCCUCGUGGCCCAUUUUAAGGAUGAAGGGAUGGUCCUGGAGCAGCCAAGCCGGGUGGAGCCUUUCUAUGCUGUCCUGGACAACCCCAGCUUCUCCCUGAUGGGCAUCCUGCUGCGGAUCGCCAGGGGGACGCGCCUCUCCAUCCCCAUCACCUCCAACACGUUGCUCUAUUUUCACCCCCAUCCCGAAGACAUUAAGUUCCACUUGUACCUUGUCCCCAGCGACGCCUUGCUGACGAAGAUGAUAGAUGAUGAGGAAGAGCGCUUCUGUGGUGUGCGUCUACAGACUUCACCCCCAGUGGAACCCCUGACCUUUGGUGCCCAUUAUAUUGUGUCUAAUUCUGCUCAUCUGGAAAUAAUACCCACGGAGUUGAAAUUGUCCUACCGGAGCCCUGGAGAAAUCCAGCCCUUCUCUAAAUUCUAUGCUGGGCAGAUGAAGGAACCCAUUCAACUUGAAAUUACUGAAAAAAGACAUGAGAUUCUGGUCUGGAAGACUGUGGUGAAGCCAGUGGAUAUCCAGCUUGGAGCUGCACCCUCCCCACCUGCCUUCUCAGGUGCAGCCUUUGUGAGGGAGAACCACCGGCAACUCCAAGCCAGGAUUGGGGACCUGAAAGGGGUGCUCGAUGAUCUCCAAGACAAUGAGGUUCUCAGUGAGAAUGAGAAGGAGCUGGUGGAGCAGGCAAAGACACGGCAGAGCAAGACCGACGCCCUGCUGAGCAUGGUGGAGAAGAAAGGGGACCGGGCCCUGGAGCUGCUCUUCAGAAGCCUUAGUGAAAGGGACCCUUACCUCGUGUCCUAUCUUAGACAGCAGAGUUUGUAAAGGGAGUCAGUCCGAGAGUCUGGAAGAGAGAAUCCAGCGUUCUCAUUGGAAAUGAACGAGUAGAGAUGCAUCCUUGAUUCCAGUGUCCAAAACAGAGGAGGGCUGGGUCACAUUUGCCCAUCACACAGGCUUUGGGGACAGAUACGUCACCGGGAAGACACCCAUGGGCUGUAUCCCCAUGCCUUUCCCUCAAGAAUAUCUGAAGAAAAUAACAAUCGUGCUUUUAAAUCUUUUCUAACCAUGGCUCGAUAUAUGACUGUUCCAUCCAUUGACACGUUUCCCGAAGACCCAGGGUGAGUAAGUCAAAGCAGUUGUGUUUAUACAUGAUAGGCUCCAGAAAGGAAAAUUCUCCUGAUGAACCUGAAAACCAGCUUUUAUGGACACUCUGUUUGAUGUGUCACCAUUCCACCACAAAAAGCAGGAACGCGAACAAAACCUCUCAAUCGAAGAGACUCAAGUAGAGACAGGGUUUCACCAUGUUGGCCAGGCUGGUCUCGAACUCCUGACCUGAAGUGAUCCACCCACCUCGGCCUCCCAAAGUGCUGGGAUUACAGAUGUGGCCCACCGCGCCUAGUCAUGGCUCAUCCUUGUAUUGUAAGUAAUUUUGAUUUGUACCCUGGACAUUUGAAUGUUAUGUUAUGAGACUCUAUGAUUCAUCUGUAUCCGGCACAAAGUGUCCAUUUUUUUUAGGUCUUCUAUGAAGUGAGGUAUUCAUGUUAGCUCAUUUUUAAAGUCUGUGCAGUUCUGUCUAUCCCGUGUGUGCCUGUGAGGUUGGGCGGAGGUUGACCCGCUAGUGCGGGUCUCAGGGCCUUUAAAUGUGAAUUAGGAUCACAGCAGUGGAUGCCCAAGUUGGGGUUAAGCCUAGGAAUUCAUAAAAGUCUUCACGGACUCACAUUCUGCCACUCCAUGUGCUUCAUUAUUGUUAUGGUGAGAGAAACAGCAUUUUGUUAUUUUUCUAUACCCUAACUUGAAGUAGAACUGAACUUUUGCAUUUGAAGAUUGAACGCCAUAAUUUUAUGAAAAAAAAAUAAAAAUAUGUUGUUAUUAAAACAAAGCCAGGUAUAUAUUAA
Molecule: non-coding RNA, 3000 nt
Organism: Macaca mulatta (Rhesus monkey)
Lineage: Eukaryota; Metazoa; Chordata; Mammalia; Primates; Cercopithecidae
Source: RefSeq, a predicted model, not a curated record